RNAcentral lists this transfer RNA (84 nucleotides) under Candidatus Woesebacteria bacterium. RNAcentral describes it as "tRNA-Leu". It matches the Rfam family "tRNA". From Rfam's summary of the family: Transfer RNA (tRNA) molecules are approximately 80 nucleotides in length. Lineage: Bacteria; Candidatus Woeseibacteriota. The record is from RNAcentral.
GCCGGGGUGGCGGAAUUGGCAGACGCGCAGGAUUUAGGAUCCUGUGAGAUUUAUCUCGUGGAGGUUCGAGUCCUCUCCUCGGCA